RNAcentral lists this ribosomal RNA (440 nucleotides) under uncultured bacterium. Its description in RNAcentral is "partial 16S ribosomal RNA". It matches the Rfam family "Bacterial small subunit ribosomal RNA", at positions 338 to 795 of the family's 1533-position model. The record is from RNAcentral.
CCUACGGGGGGCAGCAGUGGGGGAUAUUGCACAAUGGGGGGAACCCUGAUGCAGCGACGCCGCGUGGGUGAAGAAGCGCCUCGGCGCGUAAAGCUCUGUCAGCAGGGAAGAAAAUGACGGUACCUGAAGCAGAAGCCCCGGCUAACUACGUGCCAGCAGCCGCGGUAAUACGUAGGGGGCAAGCGUUAUCCGGAUUUACUGGGUGUAAAGGGGGCGCAGACGGCGAUGCAAGCCAGGAGUGAAAGCCCGGGGCCCAACCCCGGGACUGCUCUUGGAACUGCGUGGCUUGAGUGCAGGAGGGGCAGGCGGAAUUCCUGGUGUAGCGGUGAAAUGCGUAGAUAUCAGGAGGAACACCAGUGGCGAAGGCGGCCUGCUGGACUGCAACUGACGUUGAGGCCCGAAAGCGUGGGGAGCAAACAGGAUUAGAUACCCCAGUAGUC